GACGAACGCUGGCGGCGUGCUUAACACAUGCAAGUCGAACGGAAAGGCCUGCUUUCCCUUGUGGAUUGCGGGUACUCGAGUGGCGAACGGGUGAGUAACACGUGAGUGAUCUGCCCCCAACUUGGGUAUAAGCCUGGGAAACUGGGUCUAAUUCCCGAUAGGACUGCAGGGUGGUGCCUGUGGUGAAAAACGAUUUUCUAGUGGUUGGGGAUGAGCUCGCGGCCUAUCAGCUUGUUGGUGGGGUAAUGGCCUACCAAGGCGGCGACGGGUAGCCGGCCGGGGAGGGUGGACGGCCACAUUGGGACUGGGAUACGACCCAGACGCCUACGGGAGGCAGCAGUGGGGAAUAUUGCACAAUGGGCGGAAGCCUGAUGCGGCGACGCCGCGUGGGGGAUGACGGCCUUCGGGUUGUAAACUCCUUUCGACCGCGAGGAAGCCACCUGGUUGGAAGGGUGGUGACGGUAGUGGUAGAAGAAGCACCGGCUAACUACGUG
This 494-nucleotide ribosomal RNA is filed under the name uncultured bacterium. RNAcentral's name for it is "partial 16S ribosomal RNA". It matches the Rfam family "Bacterial small subunit ribosomal RNA", at positions 28 to 507 of the family's 1533-position model. The record is from RNAcentral.